Molecule: long non-coding RNA, 1588 nt
Organism: Armigeres subalbatus
Lineage: Eukaryota; Metazoa; Arthropoda; Insecta; Diptera; Culicidae
Exons: 4
Source: RefSeq, a predicted model, not a curated record
UUGUUUUUCUCUGAUUAGUUUUUUAGUUUAGUUUGAAAAUUGCUUAGAAAAUGGUAAAUUCUGACGAUAAGAAUUUGAAUUUGAUGGGCUACAGCUCUUCGAUGAACCUACGCCGAAUGGAGUAUCCUCCACUGGACUCGAUCCUGGGCCAAUCGCUUCCAGUCGCCCGGAACAUUGAGCGCCCUCAGGUCCUCUUCAACUGCAAAAAGCCAUCGUGCCUCGAAGCCUGCGGCCUCUUCCGGGUUCAAAUUGUUGGUUGACGAUAAUAAACUCAAAAUAGAAGGUGAAAAAGUCUCAAAUUUCCUGUAAGUAUCUUCUCAAUCAAACGAAUGGUCAUUGUGUAUUUGUGAAUUUGGAAAAUUUGCGGACCGAGGAAGAAGGCCGGAUUCAAUGAUUUAUUCACUGUAUAACAUUGGUGAUGUCUAUAAAGUGAUAAUAAUUAUGCCCGAAUGUGCCGGAUCUUGAUUCGAAGCAGGGACUGUGUCCAGUAAGUACUGCAACCACUGCAACGGGACCGGAAAACAGGUGACAAUUAGCUUAUCGAUUUUUGAUGCAUUCCACCUGUCGCUAAUGCCAAGGUGCACGAAGUUUCGUCAAAUAUUCGUGCCCGGAAGCGGCGGUAAAGGACUGAUGACCCUGAGAGAGCGGAUGAUUAUGUACGUGUGACGGCGUUGGGGUUGGACAUGCUGUACAAAUGCGUGGAAACAAGAACGGCAAAGAUAGCACGCUUUUACAAAAAUAUUAUAAUAGACAACUUUAAAUACAAAUGGAUUGUUCUUCUCAAAUCCGGUUUAGCUGGUAUCAACUUUCGUCUGGCUUUCAUUCGCAAUUCGAUGUAGUACGCAAAAGGUUUAUCUACCCCAAUAUGGUACCGUAUCAAUACUUGGAUGGCGUUCCGUUGCUCAUUAUGCCAUGCACAAGCUAUAGAAUAGGAACUGCAAGCUACACGGCUGAUAUGAAAUGUUUUUUCCCUACAUCCUGUCGAGGAUGUUCGGGACAUCGUUACUUAUGAGUCCAGGAUGCCGUUUGUCCAGACCAUAAUGUGACUAUCACUGGGAAUUUGAAGGAUCGUCCUCAGGAGGAAAACAGUUCGAAGGCUUGAAAAAUAUAAGCAGUUACCGUUCAUAGCAACAAAAACUCACUGACAGAUGGGCAAAUUGUCGCAGAAUUCUCUGACCUUGAUAUGGAGGCUAUUCGGGCGAUUCGAUUGAAACCAUACUCGUUCUGCUCUUUGUGUUACAUAAUCAACGGCCUGAAAUAAUAUAGUCUGGACUAUCACUUGGCGCAUUUGGAGGAUUACUAAAGGUCGCCGAUGAAUUUGAUAUAUUGUCCGAAAACCAUUAGACAUUGUUAGAAGCCAACGACUAUAUGGCAUAAGAAAUGAACAACAACCACAGAGUGCAAGUUCAGGCUUUUCUAACCGGAAUGGGCAAAACAACUAUUCAUGGGUCACAACAAGGAGCACCUCUUCACGAACGAUUGAAAAUCAGACUCAAUGAAAAAAUGGAUUUACUAGACUAGACAGUUUAAGAAAAUGAGUUAGUGGCUUUCGGUAGAAAGUAUAGGAUUGCAAGAAUAAUUUGUUUAA